GAUGAACGCUGGCGGCGUGCCUAAUACAUGCAAGUCGAGCGAACGGACGAGAAGCUUGCUUCUCUGAUGUUAGCGGCGGACGGGUGAGUAACACGUGGAUAACCUACCUAUAAGACUGGGAUAACUUCGGGAAACCGUAGCUAAUAUCGGAUAAUAUUUUGAACCGCAUGGUUCAAAAGUGAAGGACGGUCUUGCUGUCACUUAUAGAUGGAUCCGCGCUGCAUUAGCUAGUUGGUAAGGUAACGGCUUACCAAGGCAACGAUGCAUAGCCGACCUGAGAGGGUGGUCGGCCACACUGGAACUGAGACACGGUCCAGACUCCUACGGGGGGCAGCAGUAGGGAAUCUUCCGCAAUGGGCGAAAGCCUGACGGAGCAACGCCGCGUGAGUGAUGAAGGUCUUCGGAUCGUAAAACUCUGUUAUUAGGGAAGAACAUAUGUUUAAGUAACUGUGCGGAUCUUGACGGUACCUAGUCAGAAAGCCACGGCUAACUACGUG
RNAcentral lists this ribosomal RNA (497 nucleotides) under uncultured bacterium. RNAcentral describes it as "partial 16S ribosomal RNA". It matches the Rfam family "Bacterial small subunit ribosomal RNA", at positions 28 to 507 of the family's 1533-position model. The record is from RNAcentral.